Molecule: ribosomal RNA, 497 nt
Filed under: uncultured bacterium
Lineage: Bacteria
Description: partial 16S ribosomal RNA
Rfam family: Bacterial small subunit ribosomal RNA
Source: RNAcentral
GAUGAACGCUGGCGGCGUGCCUAAUACAUGCAAGUCGAGCGAACAGACGAGGAGCUUGCUCCUCUGACGUUAGCGGCGGACGGGUGAGUAACACGUGGAUAACCUACCUAUAAGACUGGGAUAACUUCGGGAAACCGGAGCUAAUACCGGGUAAUAUAUUGAACCGCAUGGUUCAAUAGUUAAAGACGGUUUUGCUGUCACUUAUAGAUGGAUCCGCGCCGCAUUAGCUAGUUGGUAAGGUAACGGCUUACCAAGGCAACGAUGCGUAGCCGACCUGAGAGGGUGAUCGGCCACACUGGAACUGAGACACGGUCCAGACUCCUACGGGAGGCAGCAGUAGGGAAUCUUCCGCAAUGGGCGAAAGCCUGACGGAGCAACGCCGCGUGAGUGAUGAAGGUCUUCGGAUCGUAAAACUCUGUUAUUAGGGAAGAACAAAUGUGUAAGUAACUAUGCACGUCUUGACGGUACCUAAUCAGAAAGCCACGGCUAACUACGUG